Molecule: ribosomal RNA, 405 nt
Filed under: Triticum aestivum (bread wheat)
Lineage: Eukaryota; Viridiplantae; Streptophyta; Magnoliopsida; Poales; Poaceae
Description: partial small subunit ribosomal RNA
Source: RNAcentral
AUGGACCGGCGGGGGCGGCCCGUACGGGCUAGCCAAGUAAAGGCGGAUGCCCUGGACCGCGACGACCAGGUCGUUGAGCACGCCAGCCAUGGCCUCCGGUGUAAACUGCUGCGGCACGGGGGGAGGCGACGACGACGAGUGUGGGACGGGGGUGGCGGCUGGCCCUGGCCCGGCGCUGUGCCGGGUGCGGGGGAGAUCGGCGCCGACAGCAAGGCCGUGGCGCCCGGCGAUGAAGCGGCGGUGUUGGUGGAGUUGGUGGCAGCGGCGGUGGGGGAGUUGGCGGGCAGCGGCGGCGGUGGUGGUGGCGGCGGAUUUGGGGGCGGCGAGGACAUGGUUGAAACCCGGGUACCUAAUACCAAAUUGGUAGGACUACGGUUCCUACCGGCUCUACUCCUUAGGUUAUAA